This 91-nucleotide non-coding RNA is filed under the name Pseudomonas fluorescens HK44. Lineage: Bacteria; Pseudomonadati; Pseudomonadota; Gammaproteobacteria; Pseudomonadales; Pseudomonadaceae. The record is from RNAcentral.
CUCUAUGGUGGCUGUGCGCAGGGCACCCUCGGGUGCGCCGGUUUUUCGUGAUUCCUCCCGGUCUGCUAACCUGCGUACAGCCGCCACCCUU